This is a long non-coding RNA of Bos taurus (domestic cattle), 628 nucleotides long. NCBI's taxonomy places the organism in Eukaryota, Metazoa, Chordata, Mammalia, Artiodactyla, Bovidae. The record is from Ensembl.
CCUGAGGUGGUGGUACCUGGGGUUCACCUAAUGUUUCUCCUCAAAGUGAAACCAGUGCGGGCGGUAGUCUCCGCGCGUGCGUUCGCUGCGGCCCGCGGGUCGCGUGGUCAGCUCGGAACCUGAGGGUGUGGGGGAAGGUCGGGGCGUCUGGGGAAGGGUCCUGACAGGCAGGGUGGAGGAGGAUCGCGGGGCGGGUCCGGGGGAGGGUCGCCAAGCGUUCCCGCAGGACUCGAGCCCGUGGCCAUGACCGCGCUCCGGGUUCCGCGGCGGCUGUGCUGGUUGGUGCUGGAUGAGAGGAGCUGCACGCGGCUGGGCGCGCGGGCUGCGCGGGGUCUGCCGGAGAUACCCUCCUGCACACUUUACGCGCCACAGCCGCUGGGACAUCUUGGCCUAUCUGGGACCUGGACAUCGAAGCCGUCCACCAGGACUACAAGCGGGCUCUCUCUGCACGAGGCUGCCUCCAUGGGACACCCGGACUGCGUGCGGUACCUGCUGGCCCGGGGGGCCGCCGUCGACUGCUUGGAAGGCCGACUGACUGCCUCCCAUGAUAGAGCAGAGAGCUGUAACGAACAUGUUCAGAUGCCCUGGAGAAGGAAAUGGCAACCCACUUCAGUAUUCUUGCCUGGAG